Molecule: ribosomal RNA, 140 nt
Filed under: uncultured eukaryote
Lineage: Eukaryota
Description: partial 18S ribosomal RNA
Rfam family: Eukaryotic small subunit ribosomal RNA
Source: RNAcentral
CCGUGGAGUGAUUUGUCUGGUUUAUCCGUUAACGGGCGAGACCGCAGCCUGCUAAAUAGUUUUGCUCACCUUUGGUGGGUUGAGACUUCUUAGAGGGACAACUCUGGCUAUAACCAGGGAGGAAGUUUGCGGCAAUAACA